This is a long non-coding RNA of Vulpes vulpes (red fox), 1937 nucleotides long. Lineage: Eukaryota; Metazoa; Chordata; Mammalia; Carnivora; Canidae. The record is from Ensembl.
UUCUGCUUCCUUUAAGUCCCACAGAGGAAACAUGGAUCACUCUCUGUUCUCUUCCCCUUAGGCUACUUUAAGGAAAACAACAACAACAACAACAACAACAACAACAACAGCAACAAACAAGGGGCUAUCUUUAUUUAGAAUGACUUAGAUAUAUGAAGUCAACAACUCACUGUGAAAAACUGACUCAUGCUCAAAAGAACAGUAUCUUUUAUUUCCUAUGAUUGUUCCACGGGGAAAAAACCUGCCUUUCCUUGCUGAUGGUGGUGAGGUAACAGCCAAGGAAACUUAAAUUUGCCAUUUGAAGGAGACACAAAAAUAUCUCCUGUGAGUAAAUGAUCUAUAUCAGAAUUGUGGAUUUCUCUCUCCUGCCUUUUCUCAGCCCAGAUGAUGUCUAGAUACAAAAGGAAGCUUUCAGAGAUAGAAGAAGCUGGACUCAGGUCAGAAGGGGUGUCUCUGGAAAAGCAAAGGAGGGGAAAAACAAGACCAACUCUAAGCUGAAGAGGGAUAUACAACUGCAAAGAGUUUGUGCUGUAGAGGUGACAAGACUACACACAGAUGUGUUUGAUGAGCUGACCUUCUGUUAACGGUCUUUGGGACUGAGCUGUCAUGUCUCAGAGAUUUGCUUCUUUCGAGCUGUCUCAUCAUUGCCUCAUAAACUAUUUUUCACUUUACUGAAGUUGAACUGUUGGGGCUACGAUUCUCUGGAUCAGUCCUCCUCUUACCCUCCAUCUAACUCUGGAAAUACUGGAUAUGGGGUUGGCACCUCAAAGCUUCCUUGUCGCUGUCUGGACCAACUCCCUAGAAAAGAACAUGUUGUUGAGCUCCCACUUCAGGACUCCUCACUCUUCCAAGCCAUGAGCUGCGAAGGAACCAGAACAGCUGGUUCCUGCCCCAGCCAACUGGGUUUAGGUCUUUUAGUCAGAGCUAUGUCUCCUCUCCAUUCAAAGGCCAAGUGCCCUCCUGGAUCAUCCAUCAUGUCAGCCAGGGGCAGAGAGUCAUGCAAUAUAGAGGAUGUUGGGACCACUUCUGUGUAUCCACUUCUGUAUCCAAGGAUACAGCCAAGGGGCAGGGCUUGGAAUUUCCAGCCUUCAGCAGCUAUUCCUGUAGGUACUAGCUGAUUUAUAAUAGGUAAUAGACACAAAUGAUAAAACCAGACACUUUCAGAGUUGGAAAGAAUCUUGUCUGUGAUCUAACCUAACUUUCUCAUUUUACAGAAAUAGAGAUGGAGGUCAGAGAUCUCACAGGCUCCCUCAAACAGAACUGCAUCUCAUCUCGAGCCUCCCAGCUCUGUGCCUACAUGCUGCCCCAGACCUCAGGCUGUCCACUGAUGUCAGCAUUGCCUGCACCGGGGUGACCCUCAUUUCUUUGUGCAUCUCCUUCAUCUCUGCCAGCUCUGGGUAUGGAGCUAGGAACAAGUGCUACUUUGUUGGACUGUAUCAGCUGGGAUCAACUUGCUGGACUCUUGUGACAGGGCUGAAAGUUCAGUGGAUGGACUGCUGUUUGGGAAAGUUGGUGAUAGGCCCACAGUAAUCCCAUCCAAGGGUCAUGUCAUCUCCAGCUCCUCCUUGCCUCAUAUCCCCAAAGUCUCCUCUUCUUCUUCCCUGAGUUCCUCCCCUUCUCACCCCAACACAAGAGCUUUUGUGAAAAGCUUAUGUUCCCUGACUAUAGCAGAAUUCUCUUUAAAAGAAAGCUUACCUUUCUAACUCCAAAAGCUUCAUGAGCUAUUUAACGGUAAUUAUAUUUAUUAUGGAUAAUUUUCUAUACAUUCAUCCAGUCUGGGGUGUAUGCCUUAUCCCCCUUUAUGGCUUGAUCAGAAAUUUAAGAUUUUCCUCCCAGCUCACUCUCCUCUCAUACGGAUAUUGUCUAAAAGGAAAUAUAUACAGUGUUCUUAAAUGAUGCUGUCACCUCUCACUCAAGGGAAGGAAAAACUGUUCCAG